CAGGUUGUUUUCACCUCCCUGUGUCUGCUUUGCAAGAAUAUCUCUCCCAUCAGAAGUGAGGACCCUUCGAUUCUGCGUGCUUCUUGUUUCUGGGGUCAUCUGAAUCAUGACCUUCCAUUGGGACACCUGGAUCAGGAGUGCAAUGCGUCAUGGACUUUUAAAAGGAGUCCCAGGUUCCUUAUCGUAAAAUGGGGACUUGGCAGAGGCAGCUCUGGUGUCGUUGAGAAUAGUCACAACAAGGAGGUCUGGGUAGCCCUGAAGACCACUGAGCGAGUGCCUUUUCAGGACAGUGACGGUGAAGCUGCUUCCCGAAUGUCCACUCUCUGCUUACGGAGCAUCCCUCUCUCCUUUUCCUCUGCUCAUUCUGUAACAAAGAUGUCCCCAAAGCACAAUGAAUGAAGAGCUAUAAAGGAAGAAGUGUGACCUUUUAACAAUGAUCAGAUAUGAAGAUAUGAACACAAAAACUUUUGAGGAAUAAGUCCUUGACUUUUGGCUUAAUCAUUUAGCUCAUGCAUAAUUAUAACCAGAAAUUUUUUUUCUGCCAUUUCAACAUUAUACUUCGAUUCACGUUCCUUUACAAUAAUCUCUAAUGAUAUUGCAACUAUGUUUAUUUUUGGGACUCUGAUAAUAGAGAACACAGUCAAUCUAUUGCCAGUUGGACGAUUUAUUUAUUGUGCAUUCAGAGUGAAUGCGAAUUAUCUUAUGUUCCUUGAAAGGAAUUAGACAUGGCUUGAUAUAUUAGUGAAAUCAUUACCAUUUCAUUAAACUGUGUGUUUUGAACCAGACUGCUCUGUAGCUUAUUGAAAUGCAGAAAGUCAUUCUUUUAUGUGCAUAAUCACAGCUGAUGGACAAAUGUACAGCACUCAAAAGCUGCAGCAUUUUGCAUGAAAUAUUUGCCUGUACAUGCAUGAAAUUUUGCACAAAAUGACAAAGGCCUUUAAAUAAAGAAAAAAGUCAUGCAGAACA
This 966-nucleotide long non-coding RNA is filed under the name Sus scrofa (pig). RNAcentral's name for it is "lncRNA (ENSSSCG00070015693.1)". The record is from RNAcentral. Lineage: Eukaryota; Metazoa; Chordata; Mammalia; Artiodactyla; Suidae.